GGUUAAGCGACUAAGCGUACACGGUGGAUGCCCUGGCAGUCAGAGGCGAUGAAGGACGUGCUAAUCUGCGAUAAGCGUCGGUAAGGUGAUAUGAACCGUUAUAACCGGCGAUUUCCGAAUGGGGAAACCCAGUGUGAUUCGUCACACUAUCAUUAACUGAAUCCAUAGGUUAAUGAGGCGAACCGGGGGAACUGAAACAUCUAAGUACCCCGAGGAAAAGAAAUCAACCGAGAUUCCCCCAGUAGCGGCGAGCGAACGGGGAGCAGCCCAGAGCCUGAAUCAGUGUGUGUGUUAGUGGAAGCGUCUGGAAAGGCGCGCGAUACAGGGUGACAGCCCCGUACACAAAAAUGCACAUACUGUGAGCUCGAUGAGUAGGGCGGGACACGUGGUAUCCUGUCUGAAUAUGGGGGGACCAUCCUCCAAGGCUAAAUACUCCUGACUGACCGAUAGUGAACCAGUACCGUGAGGGAAAGGCGAAAAGAACCCCGGCGAGGGGAGUGAAAAAGAACCUGAAACCGUGUACGUACAAGCAGUGGGAGCCUCUUUAUGGGGUGACUGCGUACCUUUUGUAUAAUGGGUCAGCGACUUAUAUUCUGUAGCAAGGUUAACCGAAUAGGGGAGCCGAAGGGAAACCGAGUCUUAACUGGGCGUUAAGUUGCAGGGUAUAGACCCGAAACCCGGUGAUCUAGCCAUGGGCAGGUUGAAGGUUGGGUAACACUAACUGGAGGACCGAACCGACUAAUGUUGAAAAAUUAGCGGAUGACUUGUGGCUGGGGGUGAAAGGCCAAUCAAACCGGGAGAUAGCUGGUUCUCCCCGAAAGCUAUUUAGGUAGCGCCUCGUGAAUUCAUCUCCGGGGGUAGAGCACUGUUUCGGCAAGGGGGUCAUCCCGACUUACCAACCCGAUGCAAACUGCGAAUACCGGAGAAUGUUAUCACGGGAGACACACGGCGGGUGCUAACGUCCGUCGUGAAGAGGGAAACAACCCAGACCGCCAGCUAAGGUCCCAAAGUCAUGGUUAAGUGGGAAACGAUGUGGGAAGGCCCAGACAGCCAGGAUGUUGGCUUAGAAGCAGCCAUCAUUUAAAGAAAGCGUAAUAGCUCACUGGUCGAGUCGGCCUGCGCGGAAGAUGUAACGGGGCUAAACCAUGCACCGAAGCUGCGGCAGCGACACUAUGUGUUGUUGGGUAGGGGAGCGUUCUGUAAGCCUGUGAAGGUGUACUGUGAGGUAUGCUGGAGGUAUCAGAAGUGCGAAUGCUGACAUAAGUAACGAUAAAGCGGGUGAAAAGCCCGCUCGCCGGAAGACCAAGGGUUCCUGUCCAACGUUAAUCGGGGCAGGGUGAGUCGACCCCUAAGGCGAGGCCGAAAGGCGUAGUCGAUGGGAAACAGGUUAAUAUUCCUGUACUUGGUGUUACUGCGAAGGGGGGACGGAGAAGGCUAUGUUGGCCGGGCGACGGUUGUCCCGGUUUAAGCGUGUAGGCUGGUUUUCCAGGCAAAUCCGGAAAAUCAAGGCUGAGGCGUGAUGACGAGGCACUACGGUGCUGAAGCAACAAAUGCCCUGCUUCCAGGAAAAGCCUCUAAGCAUCAGGUAACAUCAAAUCGUACCCCAAACCGACACAGGUGGUCAGGUAGAGAAUACCAAGGCGCUUGAGAGAACUCGGGUGAAGGAACUAGGCAAAAUGGUGCCGUAACUUCGGGAGAAGGCACGCUGAUAUGUAGGUGAAGCGACUUGCUCGUGGAGCUGAAAUCAGUCGAAGAUACCAGCUGGCUGCAACUGUUUAUUAAAAACACAGCACUGUGCAAACACGAAAGUGGACGUAUACGGUGUGACGCCUGCCCGGUGCCGGAAGGUUAAUUGAUGGGGU
This 1862-nucleotide ribosomal RNA is filed under the name Escherichia coli. Its description in RNAcentral is "partial 23S ribosomal RNA". It matches the Rfam family "Bacterial large subunit ribosomal RNA", at positions 1 to 1890 of the family's 2925-position model. The record is from RNAcentral. Lineage: Bacteria; Pseudomonadati; Pseudomonadota; Gammaproteobacteria; Enterobacterales; Enterobacteriaceae.